RNAcentral lists this long non-coding RNA (318 nucleotides) under Ricinus communis (castor bean). RNAcentral describes it as "long non-coding RNA (RCOM_LNC002902)". Lineage: Eukaryota; Viridiplantae; Streptophyta; Magnoliopsida; Malpighiales; Euphorbiaceae. The record is from RNAcentral.
CGUCGUUCUCCUCCGCCACGCUCACGCCGGUCGCCUGCUGCUCCGACGGCUAGCCCGCGCACCUUUCGAAGCCGCCACUGACGACGCACGUAGCCCCAGUCUUCUUCCCCGACGACACACACACAUUCUUUCCCCCUCGAUUUGCUUCUCUUUCUUUUCUUUCUUCUUUCUCACCAUAUCAGCUUUUGGUCCCUGCAAGUUUCUUUCUUACCUUUUGGUCCCUCAACUUUUUUAAUUACAACAGUUUCGUCCUGUAAAAUUUUCAACUUUUCAUUAACUUUUCAAUUAAGCCCCUAACUAAUUAAUCUGUGCCAAAUU